Long non-coding RNA from Zingiber officinale, 1652 nucleotides. RefSeq lists it as uncharacterized. The transcript has 8 exons. NCBI's taxonomy places the organism in Eukaryota, Viridiplantae, Streptophyta, Magnoliopsida, Zingiberales, Zingiberaceae. The record is from RefSeq and is a predicted model, not a curated record.
UAUCCUCACACCCAAACAUAUCCUCACGCUCGAAACUGCCCACAAAACCUAAUAUCGCGACCACUUCCUCACGCUAACUCCUGUCGUCGGAACCUCCCCAUCGCAUCCCUAAACUCCUCUCCGCCAACAUCUUCGCCCAUCCUCUCUCCAUCGAAGCCCUCUCCGGCCUAGUCGAGUGUCGCCGUCACCUUCUUCCGUUGGGUGUGAUCCUGCUACCUCAACGACCAGCACCCACCCUACGCGUGGAACCUUGUGGUCGACCUCCUCGGCAAGAACUUUUCGACACCAAGUGAAACUCUGUCCACUCCAUGCAAUCCGAGGGCCUUCUCUCCAUGCCUCCUACAAUGGUGAUCUUGAUUUUUAGUACUGCCACAUCUCCAAAGGUGCAUGAUCCUUUUCCAUAGCAGAUAAUGAGUGUAGAUCGCACGACAGAAGAACUUAAGACCUCUUGUUAUCUAAAAUUUCUUCAAAGAUUGUUUGUGAUCCAAUUGAAGCAAGGAAGUUUUCUGAUCCAAUCUUUGCUUGUGUAGGAGAUUAUGGUCUUAGCGAUGCUGGUUUUCUCUGGAAUUGUUCUGCUGCCCGUUCUUCUAGUGGUUGCAACUGAACCUGCACCAUCUUCCACGGAUAGCAAUAGUGAAGGAAGCUUCAAGAACCUUGACAAAUUGGCCAUGGGGCAUGUCAAUCUGAGGUUGAAACAUUGCUUUUAGCCACAUUAAUACACGAGGUGAUGCAUGCUUUAGAUUUUGACCCUCAUGCCUUUGCACAUUUCCAUGAUGAGUGAAAGAGAUGAAGGCGUAGUCAGGUCACUAUGCAAGUUAUGGAUGAGAAGUUUGGUUGUGCAGUUGCACGUAUUGUCCUGCCCCGACUAGUUAUGCAUACUAGAUUCUAUUAUGGGUUAGCAUUCCCCAAGGGCCUAAAUUCAACACCAGGAAGACCAAGAGUAGCUCCCAGCAGUCCUGUAAUUUUCGAAGUCACUUUGGAGUAUGUUCCAGGCCUAGACAAUGAGUAAACCUUGUGCUUCCAGUUCCAUCCACUUGUUCAGAGGAGUUAAAGAAAUGAGCUUGGAGAGCUUAAAUUUUUUUAAUCUAUCUUUGUUGUACAUAUCUGAGGCGUUUUAGGUCAGAGGAAGCAACACCAGGUUGCUCCGGCCACUAUUUUCUGAUAGCAAGUACAUCUGGCAGUGACUCAACAAUCGGGCAUUCAGGUUUGGGUGAGUAUUUGGAUUGAGUCCUUGGGUUGAAUACUUUGAUGCGGAUGUGAUGAUUUUCGAUUUAGGGCUUUUGGAAUUUGCUGUGUCAAUACUGCUUCAGCUGAGGACAUCAAGGAAGAGGUUGCUAAGGUGAGUUUUCAUGAUAAGCUUUAAUCCGAGCUAUGAAGGAAGUGUGGAUUAAUUAAGGAAAUUAUAAUGCUGGGUUGAACCUAAUUCAAUCAAGAAAUUGAUAUUAGAUGGAUAUGAUAGUUAGGGUUAGGAAAUCUAACCCUAAUUGAACAUGGAGUUAUAUUUAAUUAGGGUUAAAAUGUUGGAUUUAAUAUAAGCUUCGGGUUAGAUCCGAUUUAUUUAAUUAACCGAGAUCAACAGGGUAUCCUGGUUAAUAGGAAUUUUGACUAAGCUAUUGGAUAUCUACGAGCAUGGCUUAAUUAUAUGUAUGUUA